CUCCCUUAGUGGGAAUCUUUAAUUUGUCUACUCAUAUAUUGAAAGCCUCAGAGAUUUCCUUGUUGAACAAAGGUUUGAACUUUGCCCCCCUCAGUAAUCCCAAUAUCUUGGAUCUAUUUAGGGAUCUUAAUCAAUUCAUUAGGAAAUUGACCCUUACUAGGUCAUUCAAUAUUAAGGAGGCCAAUAGUAUAAUUGAAUGUCCUGGUUUUUUAAAUGAACCACAAGAUAAGAUUAUACUUAAGAAUUUGAUAGGUCUCCUUAAUGAACAAACAGAGCCUGGGAUCACAAUUGAUGCCUUGGAGGUUAUAGACGCUAGUAUAACUACAGGUCUUAAACCACCUUCC
Pelobates cultripes (western spadefoot toad) is the source of this 344-nucleotide non-coding RNA. NCBI's taxonomy places the organism in Eukaryota, Metazoa, Chordata, Amphibia, Anura, Pelobatidae. The record is from the annotation of a GenBank genome assembly.